Non-coding RNA from Xyrichtys novacula (pearly razorfish), 3196 nucleotides. Lineage: Eukaryota; Metazoa; Chordata; Actinopteri; Labriformes; Labridae. The record is from the annotation of a GenBank genome assembly.
CUCUGCGACUCCAGGUUUCCACAAAGUACUUGAUGACUGGGCGAUCCUGUGCCUGAUGGUCGUCUACAGUUCAAGCUGAAGCACUUUGACACCUGGCUGAGGUAAAUAAUGUGAAUGCGGUUUGGUGCUUUAUGAGCCAGUAUCUUUGCAGCGAGGCAGCCUGCGUGUCCUCACUUCAUAACAAACUUAUCUUCUGGCUUAGUGGGAGGUUUGUGACUGUCACGGCUGCAUUUUAGAUAAAGCCCGGCGUCCUGGUCAAAGACGUGUCCAGAAUUUUGUGAAAAAAUUGUCGUCACAGCAAUUUCUUUCAAGGACUACACUGAAUACAUUUCUAUGCACUGAGUGUUUGCAGAAAGUGUCAGAGAGCAGUCUAUAAAGAAGCACACAUAACGCACACUAAUCACAAAAAACUGCUUCAGCAGCAAAACGCUCAUACUGCCGGUUUGAUGCCUCUUCAUAUACACAGAUUCGGUGUUCAGCAGAGAUGGUCAACCACCUCAGUGAUUGACCAAUAGAAAGCUUCCUCGUUAAACAUUGCUAUAAGGCUGCUGAUCAGUGUUAAUUUGACUGAAUACAUAAAUUUCACCUCAUUGUGACUUAAUUGAAGAGAUGAAUUUUACAUAAUCCUCAUCAGCUGAAGCCGAGGGAAGGAAAAUGUUGUACACACAGAUAAAAGUGGUCUUAAAGUUAAAAGAGGGUGCGUAACAGCUCACAAAAUAUUCAUUGUGACCAUUCGUCCUCUUUUACCUGGACAUGUCCUCUUUUGGGGGGCUGUACGGCCUGUUUGGUGGAAGUUUAUAAAAUCCUUCAAAUGUCCGGGUUUUUGUGUAGCAGUUUUGAGUUUGUGAAGCAUGGACUAACUAAGUUAGAAGCACGUAAAACACACUUGACCCGACCCGACCCGACCCGACCUGAAAAACCAUCAAAAUUUUACACGCGACUCCACCCCGUGUAGUACUGUCCUCUUUUGGGGGAUUCAGAAUAUGGUCACCCUAACAUAUGUUUUUUAUGGAUAUCAUUAUUGAUAUAGAAAAAAGAAGAGGACCUAAGGAUGAGCCUUGUGGGACUCCUAUCUCAACCUUUAGUUAUUCAGAUUAACAGCAGCAAAAACACAUCGGUUCAGCAGCUAAAUGUGGCUUUGUCACUUCCGGUCUGGACUCAAAUUGCACAGGAUUAGAUGGAUGGAUGGAUGGAUGCAUGGAUGGAUAUAGAUGGAUGGAUGGAUAUAGAUGGAUAGAUGGAUGGAUGGAUGGAUACCGUGAAUGUGCUUAUCAUAGUCUCCAACACUGUCAAGUCACUCUAUGUCCAAUCUAGAAACAUCAGCGUUUAUAAUACCUAUUUACAACCAGUAUUGGCAUCAUUCAAAAUCACAGACAUGGAGUGUACACCGUAGUUGUUCAUCUUCAGCUGCAGGUUCUUGCAACCUGUUGACAUAUUUAUUUUUGCAGCAGGAGUGUCAAACAUUAAUUCUAUUGUAAUGCUCUUGUCAUUUUUUAGCAUGACUUGAGCUCUCAGAGGGUAAUUACGGCUAUUGUUGCAUGUGCACACAACAUAUCAUUAAUAAGAAGGUAAUUGAUUGCAAUAUGCCAGAGUGAUGUCAAUCAAAACAUCAUUAACUCACGGUCUCAACAACUUCAAGGAGCCACAUGAGACUCUCAGCUGCAAUCUUCUGUAUUCUGUAUAUUCUUUCUUUCAAGCGUAAUUACCAAAAGUCGUUAAGCUAACACCUGAUCACAGCGCUAAAAUAUGCCCAUGCCGCCUCUCUGAAAUAUAUCCCUACAGAUAGUAUUCAAAUGAUUUCCACAAAAGGAGUCUUGAGCAUUUUACUCGAUGGUGCCUUUUUAUUUAGAGGACAUAAGAUGUUUAAUGGCUCUGAUUUUGGCCCGUCUAAGAUAACAGCGUGCUGUCUAUUUAAGGGACAGAGUGAUGCAUGAGUAUAUCCAGCUCCUCAGUAGAUAUGCCAGUGAUAUUGUGAUGGAGUAAGAAGGGAUAAACAUCCACUCAAGACAGACUGAGACUAAAUGACCUACAAUAGUGUCCCCAUUCAUUUAUUCACGCUGUUGUUUACAGACACGUCACCAAAUCUCUUCUGCUUGAUCGAGGAGAAUAUAGAAGCUCAACCACUCAUCCAACUUGUGCUCAGACGUUCAUGACUGUGUUCUUCUCUUUGUCCCGGACUCCAGCAGCCAGAAAUAACUCGAACAGAGAAGCUUGACAGCGUGAAUCCAACUUGGUUCCAAUCUGCUGUCAGGAAGCCGCCUGUCGCUGUGGGAUGAAGAGUGACAGCGAGAUGUGAAGUUAAUGGACCGCAGUGCUGUCUGGCUCAAACGAUUAUAAUGACAGAAAUGGAAAUUACACAGUUUUUCCCCUUUUGGAUGCAUCUGCGAGUGAGGGUUCUGACCAUGCAGAGAAUGGAGGAAUUAAGGGUGGUGAAGUUCAAAUCUUAGAUAUUGAUUUCCAUCAGGAGAGAGAGAGAAAGUGGCUCUCGGGGGAUCAGUCAGUUUUAGCUUUCAGGACUUGGAGGAUAAGCCACUGAGAUAGACUGAUGACAUCUCAAAUGAACUCUGAUACUCAUCACAUGAGUACACACACUUCUCACUAACUGAUCAGAUUUUCCUUACAGAUACUUCUCUCAAACCCACUCAGCUCGUCAAUAAAUGAACUGUGCAUGUUGUUAUGUCUCAUCAAAGUCUCCGAGGUUUCGCUGUGGGACUUUGAAAAGCUAAUCUCAGGGAUGGUUAAUGAUUAAAACGGAGGCUGUAAGAUGAUUUCUUACAGAUCAAUCAGAGAAAUUUAAAUUUUAGUAGCUAAAAUUAUUGAUUGCAUUUCUCAUCACGUGUUGAGGAUCUCAUUAUUUUAUAAUCCAAAACUGUUUUCAAGCCUUAAUUAAUGAUGUAAAGCUUUCUUACCUGUGUCUUAAUUUUAGGGAAAAAAAUCAAUGCAAUAAGAUGUAUUUAAUGAUUUAGACUAGUGGUCGACUAUGGCUGAUAGGGAUGACAAUAAUUGACAGAACUGGUCAUCCAAUAAAGUGCUGAUCGUCUCUACCAUUUUUUUUUUUUUUGCCUUUUAUUUAAGAUAAUGAUUUAAUAAUAAUGAAACUAGUUGUUUUAUGCAAAUUGCAAUAUGAUAUAAAUAGUUAACUUAACCAAAGACAUGUUUUAGGUGGAUUAUGAAUUAAUGGAAAGUUAUAUUGGGC